GUCGAGGAUCAUUCGCAAUGCGCGAAAGCGUGACGGUGCGACGCCGCGUGCAGGAUGAAGGCCUUCGGGUCGUAAACUGCUGUCAUGAGGGAACAAUGUCCGGGAUGUGAAUAUCAUCUCGGGGUGAUAGUACCUCAAGAGGAAGCCACGGCUAACUCUGUGCCAGCAGCCGCGGUAAUACAGAGGCGGCAAGCGUUGUUCGGAUUUACUGGGCGUAAAGGGUGCGUAGGCGGUUCUGUGUGUCGGACGUGAAAUCUCACAGCUCAACUGUGGAAUUGCAUUUGAAACUACAGGGCUGGAGUACAGGAGAGGAGAGCGGAAUUCUCGGUGUAGCGGUGAAAUGCGUAGAUAUCGAGAGGAACACCGGUGGCGAAGGCGGCUCUCUGGACUGAUACUGACGCUGAGGCACGAAAGCUGGGGGAGCAAACAGGAUUAGAUACCCUGGUAGUCC
This 451-nucleotide ribosomal RNA is filed under the name uncultured bacterium. RNAcentral describes it as "bacterial SSU rRNA". It matches the Rfam family "Bacterial small subunit ribosomal RNA", at positions 354 to 796 of the family's 1533-position model. The record is from RNAcentral.